GACGAACGCUGGCGGCGUGCUUAACACAUGCAAGUCGAGCGGAAAGGCCCUUCGGGGUCCUCGAGCGGCGAACGGGUGAGUAACACGUGAGUAACCUGCCCCAGACUUUGGGAUAACCCUCGGAAACGGGGGCUAAUACCGGAUACGACACAGCUUCGCAUGGGGUCUGUGUGGAAAGUUUUUCGGGUUGGGAUGGGCUCGCGGCCUAUCAGCUUGUUGGUGGGGUGAUGGCCUACCAAGGCGACGACGGGUAGCCGGCCUGAGAGGGCGACCGGCCACACUGGGACUGAGACAGGGCCCAGACUCCUACGGGAGGCAGCAGUGGGGAAUAUUGCACAAUGGGCGGAAGCCUGAUGCAGCGACGCCGCGUGAGGGAUGACGGCCUUCGGGUUGUAAACCUCUUUCAGCAGGGACGAAGCGUAAGUGACGGUACCUGCAGAAGAAGCGCCGGCCAACUACGUG
Molecule: ribosomal RNA, 462 nt
Filed under: uncultured bacterium
Lineage: Bacteria
Description: partial 16S ribosomal RNA
Rfam family: Bacterial small subunit ribosomal RNA
Source: RNAcentral